This 327-nucleotide ribosomal RNA is filed under the name Trichomonas vaginalis G3. RNAcentral's name for it is "5.8S ribosomal RNA". The stretch from base 1 to 137 matches the Rfam family "Eukaryotic small subunit ribosomal RNA", at positions 1671 to 1831 of the family's 1831-position model. Lineage: Eukaryota; Parabasalia; Trichomonadida; Trichomonadidae. The record is from RNAcentral.
GCCCGUCGCUCCUACCGAUUGGAUGACUCGGUGAAAUCACCGGAUGCUUACGAGCAGAAAGUGAUUAAAUCACGUUAUCUAGAGGAAGGAGAAGUCGUAACAAGGUAACGGUAGGUGAACCUGCCGUUGGAUCAGUUCUAGUUUUAAUAACUAACACCAACUUCUUUUAUUAAACAAAAACCAAUACAAAAUUAAAAACUAACUUCAUCAAAAACCAAGUCUCUAAGCAAUGGAUGUCUUGGCUCCUCACACGAUGAAGAACGUGGCAUAAUGUGUUAAGUAACCGGAGUUGCAAACAUCAUGACAGGUUAAUCUUUGAAUGCAAAU